UACAGAGGGGGCAAGCGUUGUUCGGAAUUACUGGGCGUAAAGGGCGCGUAGGCGGCCGCCUAAGUCAGGCGUGAAAUCCCUCGGCUCAACCGGGGAACUGCGUCUGAUACUGGGUGGCUUGAAUCCGGGAGAGGGAUGCGGAAUUCCAGGUGUAGCGGUGAAAUGCGUAGAUAUCUGGAGGAACACCGGUGGCGAAGGCGGCAUCCUGGACCGGCAUUGACGCUGAGGCGCGAAAGCCAGGGGAGCAAACGGG
Molecule: ribosomal RNA, 253 nt
Filed under: uncultured bacterium
Lineage: Bacteria
Description: partial 16S ribosomal RNA
Rfam family: Bacterial small subunit ribosomal RNA
Source: RNAcentral